AAUUGGAUUGGAGGUGAAUCUGCGCUUAACUAAAAGGAUUCAAAAGUUUGAUACAUAGAAUAGAUCAUCAUUGAAGGCAUAGACCGUAGUGAUACGCAAAUGAUGUAUGUAACAGUACACUCAAGAUAAUAGCUCCCUUAAAUAUAUGUACAAUUGCAUAUACAGAGCUCAAUUUUUGAUUUUCAUUAGAUUUAUUUGCACCACAUACUCACCAUAUUUUCAUCGAAUACUUUCUAUCUGGGUCAUAUUAACGGUAUGUGUAGAAUUAACUUAUGUGUAUCCCAUACCACAUGGUAUAAACGAAGAUGGUCGCCUAAGAAGAGUUACAUCGUUUUCAAUUGAUAACUUGAAGGUGUGGAAAUACUUUCCCAUCACCUAUCACAACUGGAAAAUGCUCUGGCGAGUUUUAGCAGUCAGCAGAAAAGGAUAAGGCUUUGGCAAGAGCAAAUUAAACGAGGUGACGUAAAACUGGAAAAUAAACAUGCUUAUGGUCUGUGCAUCAAUCUGUGCUUAUAGUAUCUGUGCAUCAAUGUUCGAAAUAUAUCUGAUUCGCAAAACAAAA
Aedes aegypti (yellow fever mosquito) is the source of this 562-nucleotide long non-coding RNA. RefSeq lists it as uncharacterized. The record is from RefSeq and is a predicted model, not a curated record. The transcript is spliced from 2 exons. NCBI's taxonomy places the organism in Eukaryota, Metazoa, Arthropoda, Insecta, Diptera, Culicidae.